Molecule: transfer RNA, 73 nt
Filed under: Enterococcus faecalis
Lineage: Bacteria; Bacillati; Bacillota; Bacilli; Lactobacillales; Enterococcaceae
Description: tRNA-Thr
Rfam family: tRNA
About the family: Transfer RNA (tRNA) molecules are approximately 80 nucleotides in length. Their secondary structure includes four short double-helical elements and three loops (D, anti-codon, and T loops).
Source: RNAcentral
UGGCGUGUAGCAUUGCGGUGAUGCAACUGACUUCGUGUGAGAUAAGAUGCAGGUUCGACUCCUGUCACGUCAA